AGCGAAUAGAUACCCAGGUAGUCCACGCCGUAAACUAUGAAUGCUAGUUGUUAGGAAGUUUACUCUAGUGACGCAGCUAAACGCGUUAAGCAUUCCGCCUGGGGAGUACGGUCGCAAGAUUAAAACUCAAAGGAAUUGACGGGGGCCCGGCACAAGCGGUGGAGCAUGUGGUUUAAAAUUCGAAGCAACGCGAAGAACCUUACCGGCUCUUGACAUGGGUAUCGCGAGAUCCAGAGAUGGAUCUCUUCAGUUCGGCUGGAUACCACACAGGUGCUGCAUGGCCGUCGUCAGCUCGUGUCGUGAGAUGUUGGGUUUAAGUCCCGCAACGAGCGCAACCCUCGUCUUUAGUUGCCAUCAGGUUAUGCUGGGCACUCUAAAGAAACCGCCGGUGACAAGCCGGAGGAAGU
RNAcentral lists this ribosomal RNA (407 nucleotides) under uncultured bacterium. Its description in RNAcentral is "bacterial SSU rRNA". It matches the Rfam family "Bacterial small subunit ribosomal RNA", at positions 771 to 1173 of the family's 1533-position model. The record is from RNAcentral.